This 447-nucleotide ribosomal RNA is filed under the name uncultured bacterium. RNAcentral's name for it is "bacterial SSU rRNA". It matches the Rfam family "Bacterial small subunit ribosomal RNA", at positions 330 to 794 of the family's 1533-position model. The record is from RNAcentral.
UCCAGACUCCUACGGGAGGCAGCAGUGGGGGAUAUUGCACAAUGGGGGGAACCCUGAUGCAGCGACGCCGCGUGGGUGAAGAAGCGCCUCGGCGCGUAAAGCCCUGUCAGCAGGGAAGAAAAUGACGGUACCUGAAGAAGAAGCCCCGGCUAACUACGUGCCAGCAGCCGCGGUAAUACGUAGGGGGCAAGCGUUAUCCGGAUUCACUGGGUGUAAAGGGAGCGUAGACGGCCAUGCAAGCCUGGAGUGAAAGCCCGGGGCCCAACCCCGGGACUGCUCUGGGAACUGUGCGGCUGGAGUGCGGGAGGGGCAGGCGGAAUUCCUGGUGUAGCGGUGAAAUGCGUAGAUAUCAGGAGGAACACCGGCGGCGAAGGCGGCCUGCUGGACCGCGACUGACGUUGAGGCUCGAAAGCGUGGGGAGCAAACAGGAUUAGAUACCCUUGUAUC